RNAcentral lists this ribosomal RNA (270 nucleotides) under uncultured bacterium. RNAcentral's name for it is "partial 16S rRNA". It matches the Rfam family "Bacterial small subunit ribosomal RNA", at positions 505 to 774 of the family's 1533-position model. The record is from RNAcentral.
GUGUCAGCCGCCGCGGUAAUACGAAGGGGGCUAGCGUUGCUCGGAAUUACUGGGCGUAAAGGGCGCGUAGGCGGAUAUUUAAGUCGGGGGUGAAAGCCCGGGGCUCAACCUCGGAAUUGCCUUCGAUACUGGAUAUCUUGAGUUCGGGAGAGGUGAGUGGAAUGCCGAGUGUAGAGGUUAAAUUCGUAGAUAUUCGGCGGAACACCAGUGGCGAAGGCGACUCACUGGCCCGAUACUGACGCUGAGGCGCGAAAGCGUGGGGAGCAAACA